CAUGGUCCUAGUAUAAGCAUUAUACAGCGAAACUGCGAAUGGCUCAUUAUAUAAGUUAUCGUUUAUUUGAUAGUGCCUUACUACUUGGAUAACCGUGGUAAUUCUAGAGCUAAUACAUGCUAAAAAUCCCGACUUCGGAAGGGAUGUAUUUAUUAGAUUAAAAACCAAUGCCCUCUGGGCUCUUUGGUGAUUCAUGAUAACUUCUCGAAUCGCACGGCCUUGCGCCGGCGAUGGCUCAUUCAAAUUUCUUCCCUAUCAACUUUCGAUGUUUGGGUAGUGGCCAAACAUGGUUGCAACGGGUAACGGAGGGUUAGGGCUCGACCCCGGAGAAGGAGCCUGAGAAACGGCUACUACAUCCAAGGAAGGCAGCAGGCGCGCAAAUUACCCAAUCCCGAUUCGGGGAGGUAGUGACAAUAAAUACUGAUACAGGGCUCUUUCGGGUCUUGUAAUCGGAAUGAGUACAAUUUAAAUCCCUUAACGAGGAACAAUUGGAGGGCAAGUCUGGUGCCAGCAGCCGCGGUAAUUCCAGCUCCAAUAGCGUAUAUUAAAGUUGUUGUGGUUAAAAAGCUCGUAGUUGAACCUUGGGCCUGGCUGGCCGGUCCGCCUCACCGCGUGUACUGGUCCGGCCGGGUCUUUCCCUCUGUGGAACCCCAUGCCCUUCACUGGGUGUGGCGGGGAAACAGGACUUUUACUUUGAAAAAAUUAGAGUGCUCCAGGCAGGCCUAUGCUCGAAUACAUUAGCAUGGAAUAAUAGAAUAGGACGUGCGGUUCUAUUUUGUUGGUUUCUAGGACCGCCGUAAUGAUUAAUAGGGACAGUCGGGGGCAUCAGUAUUCAAUUGUCAGAGGUGAAAUUCUUGGAUUUAUUGAAGACUAACUACUGCGA
RNAcentral lists this ribosomal RNA (883 nucleotides) under Alfaria cyperi-esculenti. Its description in RNAcentral is "SSU rRNA". It matches the Rfam family "Eukaryotic small subunit ribosomal RNA", at positions 54 to 948 of the family's 1831-position model. Lineage: Eukaryota; Fungi; Ascomycota; Sordariomycetes; Hypocreales; Stachybotryaceae. The record is from RNAcentral.